Molecule: RNA transcript, 5890 nt
Organism: Cuculus canorus (common cuckoo)
Lineage: Eukaryota; Metazoa; Chordata; Aves; Cuculiformes; Cuculidae
Gene name: ATP-dependent RNA helicase DHX8
Exons: 24
Source: RefSeq, a predicted model, not a curated record
GACACGCCCCACACUUCCGCCCGCGCGCCGGAAGUGGAAGUGUUGCCGGUGGCAGCAGGAGCAGCGGCGCCAUCAUGGCGGAGGUGGCGGCUCUGGAUGAGCUCGCCAAGCUCGAGUAUCUGUCGCUGGUGUCCAAGGUGUGCACCGAGCUGGACAACCACCUGGGCAUCAACGACAAGGACCUAGCUGAGUUUGUGAUCAAUCUUGCUGAAAAAAACAGUACGUUUGAGACCUUCAAAGCAGUUCUUCUAAAGAACGGGGCCGAGUUCACUGAUUCCCUUAUCAGCAACUUGCUACGACUCAUACAGACGAUGCGGCCUCCACCAAAACCGUCUAUGAGCAAAGAGGCACUUGUCAAACCGAAAUCAGAGAAGGAAAAGCUGAAGGAGUUGUUCCCUGCCCUUUGCAGGCCGGAUGAUCCCAACGUCAGGACCAUGCUGGAUGAAGACGACGUGAAAGUGGCUGCUGAUGCACUUAAAGAACUUGAAGCUUUGAUGCCCAGUGCCGACAGACAGGGCAAGCACAGGAACAGCGACCACAGGUCAAAGAGGAAGAGGAGCCGAAGCCGUAGCCGUAGCAGGGACAGGAAACGAAGGCACAGAUCUCGUUCUAGGUCUCGUUCUAGGACUCGGGAUAGGAACAGGGGAAAAUCCAGAUACCGGUCAAGGAGCAGAAGUCGAAGUCCCUGUAGGGACCGUAAGGAUCGAGAGAAGUACGUUGAGAGGAGCAAUGAGAGAUGGAGAGACAAGCACGUAGACCGUCCACCGCCUGAGGAGCCUUCCAUCGGGGACAUCUACAAUGGCAAAGUGACGAGCAUAAUGCAAUUUGGAUGCUUUGUGCAGCUGGAAGGACUGAGGAAGCGUUGGGAGGGCUUGGUGCACAUCUCGGAGCUGCGAAGGGAAGGACGAGUUGCCAAUGUUGCUGAUGUUGUGAGCAAAGGACAGAGAGUGAAAGUCAAAGUGUUAUCCUUUACUGGAUCCAAAACCAGCCUCAGCAUGAAGGACGUUGAUCAAGACACUGGGGAAGAUUUGAAUCCAAACCGGAGGAGAAACCUGGUUGGAGAAACCAAUGAAGAAACCUCUAUGAGAAACCCUGACAGACCCAGUCACCUGUCCUUGGUGAACGCCCCGGAGGUGGAGGAUGACAGCCUCGAACGGAAACGCCUUACCCGGAUUUCAGAUCCAGAGAAAUGGGAAAUAAAACAGAUGAUUGCAGCUAAUGUGCUUUCCAAGGAAGAAUUUCCUGACUUUGAUGAGGAGACUGGAAUUCUUCCUAAAGUUGAUGAUGAAGAAGAUGAGGACCUUGAGAUAGAGUUGGUUGAAGAAGAGCCGCCUUUCCUUCGAGGUCAUACUAAACAGAGCAUGGAUAUGAGUCCCAUCAAAAUAGUAAAGAAUCCGGAUGGUUCCUUGUCCCAGGCUGCAAUGAUGCAGAGUGCUUUGGCUAAAGAAAGACGAGAGCUGAAACAAGCCCAGAGAGAAGCGGAGAUGGAUUCCAUCCCCAUGGGACUCAACACGCACUGGGUAGAUCCUCUCCCUGACGUGGAUGGCAGACAAAUAGCUGCAAACAUGCGAGGUAUUGGGAUGAUGCCAAAUGAUAUCCCAGAGUGGAAGAAACAUGCAUUUGGUGGCAACAAAGCCUCUUAUGGUAAAAAGACCCAGCUUUCCAUCAUUGAGCAGAGAGAGAGUCUCCCAAUCUUCAGACUGAAGGAGCAGCUGAUACAAGCGGUGCAUGACAACCAGAUUCUGAUUGUUAUUGGAGAGACAGGAUCUGGGAAAACAACACAGAUCACCCAAUACCUGGCUGAAGCAGGAUAUACGUCAAGAGGAAAGAUUGGAUGUACUCAGCCUCGCAGAGUGGCUGCGAUGUCUGUUGCGAAGAGGGUGUCGGAGGAGUUUGGUUGCUGCCUGGGACAAGAGGUUGGCUACACCAUUCGAUUUGAAGACUGCACGAGCCCCGAAACCGUUAUCAAAUACAUGACGGAUGGUAUGUUACUGAGGGAGUGCUUGAUAGACCCUGACCUGACUCAGUAUGCCAUUAUCAUGCUGGACGAAGCCCACGAGAGGACCAUCAAUACAGAUGUGCUCUUUGGACUCCUGAAGAAGACAGUGCAGAAGCGGCAAGAUAUGAAGUUGAUAGUGACUUCUGCAACCCUGGAUGCUGUGAAAUUCUCUCAGUACUUCUAUGAAGCACCGAUCUUCACAAUUCCUGGCAGAACGUACCCGGUCGAAAUCCUGUACACAAAAGAGCCAGAGACGGAUUAUUUGGAUGCCAGUCUGAUUACAGUUAUGCAGAUCCACUUAACAGAGCCUCCAGGUGACAUUUUGGUGUUUCUAACUGGUCAGGAAGAGAUUGACACUGCCUGUGAAAUCCUGUACGAGAGGAUGAAAUCUCUAGGACCUGACGUUCCAGAGUUAAUUAUCCUGCCAGUAUAUUCAGCUUUACCCAGUGAAAUGCAAACCAGGAUCUUUGACCCAGCUCCACCAGGAAGCAGAAAGGUUAUCAUCGCCACUAACAUUGCUGAGACGUCUUUGACUAUUGAUGGCAUAUAUUACGUAGUUGAUCCCGGCUUUGUGAAGCAGAAAGUUUAUAACUCCAAGACUGGAAUUGACCAGCUGGUUGUGACGCCGAUUUCCCAGGCUCAAGCGAAGCAGCGAGCAGGAAGGGCUGGGAGAACUGGACCAGGAAAAUGCUAUAGGUUAUAUACAGAGCGUGCGUAUCGAGAUGAAAUGCUAACCACCAAUGUGCCUGAAAUCCAGAGAACUAAUUUGGCCAGUACAGUGCUUUCCCUGAAGGCUAUGGGCAUCAACGAUCUGCUCUCCUUUGACUUUAUGGAUGCUCCCCCAAUGGAAACUCUAAUAACAGCCAUGGAGCAGCUCUACACCCUGGGAGCUCUGGAUGAUGAGGGACUGCUCACUCGACUGGGACGCAGGAUGGCGGAGUUCCCCUUGGAACCUAUGCUGUGUAAGAUGCUGAUCAUGUCCGUGCAUCUGGGAUGCAGCGAGGAAAUGUUGACGAUAGUCUCCAUGCUGUCUGUACAGAAUGUGUUCUACAGGCCGAAGGAUAAACAAGCGCUUGCUGAUCAGAAGAAAGCCAAGUUCCAUCAGACAGAAGGCGACCACCUCACACUUCUGGCUGUGUACAAUUCCUGGAAGAAUAAUAAGUUUUCAAAUCCCUGGUGCUAUGAAAAUUUUAUCCAGGCCCGAUCUUUACGCAAGGCACAAGACAUCCGCAAGCAGAUGCUGGGCAUUAUGGACAGGCACAAGCUGGAUGUGGUGUCGUGUGGGAAGGCAACGGUUCGAGUCCAGAAGGCUAUUUGUAGUGGGUUCUUCCGAAAUGCAGCAAAGAAGGAUCCCCAGGAAGGUUAUCGGACUCUUAUCGAUCAACAAGUAGUUUAUAUCCACCCAUCCAGUGCUCUCUUCAACAGGCAGCCAGAAUGGGUGGUGUACCAUGAACUGGUGCUGACCACCAAGGAAUACAUGCGUGAAGUGACGACUAUUGAUCCUCGCUGGCUGGUGGAGUUCGCGUCUGCUUUCUUCAAGGUUUCUGACCCAACUAAGCUGAGCAAACAGAAGAAGCAGCAGCGGCUGGAACCCCUGUACAAUCGCUACGAGGAGCCCAACGCUUGGAGGAUAUCACGUGCAUUCAGACGGCGAUGAAUCCUUCCCUCAUGGACUGUUAUGGGUUUUGUAGUUGUGGUACUGUGAUCUUUGCACUGUUGCAAAUGUCCUGAAAGGAGUGACUUUCAAUCGAAGUUUGCCUAUGAAAUGAAUAGAAAAUCAAUAUUUUCAGAGCAAAAGCACAAGGAGGCGACGUGUGCUCAGGUUCCACAGCCACGAGAGGAAUGACCCUCGUCUCCUCUGUGUGCAGCAGCAUUUCAGAAGUAGUUCUUGAAGCGCUUCUUUGGUGGAUCCCCUUUCAGGAGACAAAACCUGAGACUUGGAAAUGUGGGCACUGACCUGAACAACAACAAAAAUAUAAUGGUUGAAAAAUAGUUGCUCACCAAGCUGUGUCUCAAUGGCCAAACAGAGACUGGAAUAGCUUUUAUUUACACUCGUAAAAGUGAUUUAUUUCUAUCUAUGCUCUUGGACAGUGGCUCUUGAACAGUUUUUUAGGAGCUGCUUGUUCUCUGUUUUUUCAUCUUUUAUGCACUUUCCUGCUCAGUGCAACUAUUUGCCUUUCAUGCAAGCCAUCUGGGGUGAGAUUUAGUAUCUGUGGCUUUGGGAUAAGGCAGGAAGGAUCUCUUGAAACCCAGCCAGAAUGUCGGUUAUCCUUGGACAAUGGGCGCAGGUCAGACUGCAAGGCUUAUCCUUCAUCACCAUCUCCUGUGUGCUGAAGGCUGGUAUGUUGAGCGGUAAUUAACCACAUCCACUCUGCGGCACGGCUCCCUCUGAACGGAGGUGCAAUUAAAUUUUCAGGUGCCUUCAUCUCAUGAGCAAAUGCUGACAGAGAGAUGCGUACAAGACUAAUGAAAAACAAUUAUUUUCACCAUUCAGAAAAAUAAUUGGACACACCGGUGAACAUAGAAAAGCCAAUGAUAUUGUGCUUCAGAGGGCAACUUUUCUUGUCAAAAUUCUGGAAAUAGGGGUCACCAUGGGAGCAAAUGUUUCCCCAUAAACGCGGUUUAAAUUUGUAAGCUUGAAUAUUAAAAUCUGCAUUGAAUUUCCCCGAAGGUUUUGUUGGAUACUGAUUUGAUGCUAUGAACUGUACAAUAAAAGACAUCUGCCUACGUUCUAAAAACAUGCAGUAGGGUUUGCAUUCUCUUUUACUAAUCAUGUUUAAUACCAGAUCACUUCUUUUCAUGAUGCUCCGAGGUGAGGCACAACCUUCCCGUCACCCCAGGGUACCCGGGAAUUCAUUCUGCAACCACUGUGCUCCUGAGAAAUAGAUUGUGAGGGAUCCUAUGCAAAUGAUUUAGAUUAGGGAGCUAAAAAUAUUAUGGAACAUUAGAAAGUCUAAAAUCCAAAGUUCCCAAGAAAUCAAUUCUGGGCCAAACUUAUCUUAUUGACAGCUCAGGGUUUUGAAGAGAAACCAGGCUCAAGCACGUGUGCACGCUCAGCUGCUUUACGACCAGCAAUUAAUACCUCUUUUUCUGCUCUGUUCUAAAUUACACGAGUGUUUUAAUCCUGGAAAAGCCUCCAGGUUAAUUCCUCGGGCAUCCUUACAAUUCUCACACUCCUGAACACUGCUUGAUCGAUGUUUCGGUUCAGUUCGAAAGGAACAUAAAACACUUGUUUUAGGAGGCUUAAAAAAAAGAGAAGAGUUUGAUAGACUUCUCCUUUGCUUACAGGAAAAUUAGGGGAAAUAACCCUAAAAUAAUAUGCUCAAAAAUUUAUGCAUAUUUUUAUUAUAUUCAAUACUAUAUUAUUGUUUAAUAUUUGUUAAGUACCUAUAAGUAAGUGCCUCUGUAUUUAUGAAGAGUCUGUACUUGAGGAUAUGGUUUGAAUUUUCUACAAAAUGGAUUAUUUACAGUACUGAAAUUAAAGCAAAUUCACCACACUGUUUAAAACUACUUUCGCUAAGAAUUCUUGGAACUCCCUGGGCUUUGAAGUCUUUUCUUCCUUAAAGUCAAAAAGCAAGACAAUUCAGACACCGAACUGAACAGUGUGUGAAUUCCAGGAAGGUCCCUUCAAAGAAUUAUCUUUAAAAAGCUAAAAGAAAGAAAGAAAAUUGAGAAGCACCGAAUUAAAAGAAUGGUUUAAGAAAAUAUUAACGUUCUGGCAACCAAAGGGACAAAUUAGCAUAAAAGCCACCAGUUACGCUCCAAACGAAAAUCGUAACUGGGAAAGUGGGCCAAGUGCCAUUCAUAAGCAAAUCCCCAACACAAUCGUGCGAUUCAAGAGGCUCUAUUUCCACAAGGCAGAGGUUGGCAAGUCUGAAAAAAACCACCCCA